RNAcentral lists this non-coding RNA (44 nucleotides) under Trypanosoma brucei brucei. Lineage: Eukaryota; Euglenozoa; Kinetoplastea; Trypanosomatida; Trypanosomatidae. The record is from RNAcentral.
AAAUAAAACAAACAGUGUAUAUGGUCUCAGAGAUAUUGUAUAAU